UUGUGCCAGCCGCCGCGGUAAUACGAAGGGGGCUAGCGUUGCUCGGAAUCACUGGGCGUAAAGGGCGCGUAGGCGGCCAUUUAAGUCGGGGGUGAAAGCCUGUGGCUCAACCACAGAAUUGCCUUCGAUACUGGGUGGCUUGAGUCCGGAAGAGGUUGGUGGAACUGCGAGUGUAGAGGUGAAAUUCGUAGAUAUUCGCAAGAACACCGGUGGCGAAGGCGGCCAACUGGUCCGGAACUGACGCUGAGGCGCGAAAGCGUGG
RNAcentral lists this ribosomal RNA (262 nucleotides) under uncultured Hyphomicrobiales bacterium. RNAcentral describes it as "uncultured Rhizobiales bacterium partial 16S ribosomal RNA". It matches the Rfam family "Bacterial small subunit ribosomal RNA", at positions 503 to 764 of the family's 1533-position model. The record is from RNAcentral. Lineage: Bacteria; Pseudomonadati; Pseudomonadota; Alphaproteobacteria; Hyphomicrobiales.